UUGUUUAUGAAUACGCUGAGAAAGGAGAUUUGCACCAAUGGCUUCAUGGACCAGCUGGGAGAAAUCGGCCUCUGACCUGGAGAAAGAGAAUGAAGAUCAUUCAAGGAAUAGCAAAAGGGUCUGAUGAUCUUUUCUAUAUAUAUAUACUAUUUCAACCACUUUUUUCUUAUGCAUGAAUGAUAUAAGUUUGUGUUCUGAUCAGCCUUGCGUAUAUUCAUGAGGACAUCGAACCGAAGAUCACUCAUCAAGACAUAAGACCAAGCAAGAUUCUUCUUGACUAUCAAUGGAACCCUAAGAUACUUGAUGUUGGAUUCAUCGGUCAUAGUGAUGUUCCAACUUUUAUUUCUUCACCUGAUAAUCUAGAUGAGAAAAUUGACGUCCAUUGCUUCGGGACUUUGAUAUUGGAGCUUGUCUCUGGGAGAGUCUCUGUAGACCAAAGCUCAUCACCACAUGUGAGCUAGAGUUCAUAUACAUCAUACAUAUUAUUAUCACAAAUCCCAUUGGCUAAUUAGCUUACCGGAAACAAUGUUGUUCUUUUGGUAUAGGUUUAUCUAGUGGACUGGAUCAAAGAG
Molecule: long non-coding RNA, 572 nt
Filed under: Capsella grandiflora
Lineage: Eukaryota; Viridiplantae; Streptophyta; Magnoliopsida; Brassicales; Brassicaceae
Description: long non-coding RNA (CGRA_LNC000390)
Source: RNAcentral